Molecule: long non-coding RNA, 817 nt
Filed under: Falco tinnunculus (common kestrel)
Lineage: Eukaryota; Metazoa; Chordata; Aves; Falconiformes; Falconidae
Description: lncRNA (ENSFTIG00000006109.1)
Source: RNAcentral
CAAUGAACCACACAACUACAACAGCUCUCAUUGGCAGCACUGAUUGGACUUAAAACUGCAACCUUGCAUUUUACAUUUCUGCAUCCAAUUAGCUGUUAUGAGAAGCAACCAAACUCUUAAAGCUGUACUAGUUAAAGAAAACUCAGUAUUUGAUUUACAAUGGAAGUUAUUUAAGAAGAAACAACCUUGAACAGUGAACAGUGAUCUCAGCAUUCAUAUAGCAGUGAACUUCAGAUACAGUAACUGCAUUGCUAUGUGCUAUGACAACUUUCCCAUGGGGAAGAAAUGACCUGGUAGUUCAAGAAUGACAAAGUCACAAGUAAGAGAUGUCCAUCCUACAUCAGUUUUUGGCCAUUCAUUAACCGGGUGUCUUCAGUUACAUAUGAAAAGUUCAAUCACCUCUUUGCCAAAGGAGAAGUUUCUAUCAUAGCUCAGGGUGAAGAGUGGCAAAAGCUAAGUAAAGGGAAACUGUUUGAAGUUAUGAGAUCUGUUCCCUUUUUCCAUGGAAGUACUGAGCUAGAACCUCACCUGGUACAAAAGUGUAUAAUGUAACUGGAAGAGAGGCAACAUCAGCAAAUUAAUCAGAGGACAGAGGCUAACACCUGACCACAAAGUGGCUUCUGGAACAAUUCAAAACUUCAUAACCAUUGGAAUCUGAUAUGUUGAAUAAACACUUAAGCAUUCAGUAUCCACCACUACUUGGACUGACUACAACUUGGACAUGCGCAGCUGUAUAGGGAUGUAGCAUCACAUGCAAUUGAUGUUAAAAUACAUUCUCCUGUCAGGCUAGCUAAAUGUUUGCUUACCUGCAAAGUAA